RNAcentral lists this ribosomal RNA (207 nucleotides) under uncultured bacterium. Its description in RNAcentral is "partial 16S ribosomal RNA". It matches the Rfam family "Bacterial small subunit ribosomal RNA", at positions 568 to 774 of the family's 1533-position model. The record is from RNAcentral.
CUCGUAGGCGGUUCGUCGCGUCCGGUGUGAAAGUCCAUCGCUUAACGGUGGAUCCGCGCCGGGUACGGGCGGGCUUGAGUGCGGUAGGGGAGACUGGAAUUCCCGGUGUAACGGUGGAAUGUGUAGAUAUCGGGAAGAACACCAAUGGCGAAGGCAGGUCUCUGGGCCGUCACUGACGCUGAGGAGCGAAAGCGCGGGGAGCGAACA